This is a small nuclear RNA of Trichosurus vulpecula (common brushtail), 103 nucleotides long. NCBI's taxonomy places the organism in Eukaryota, Metazoa, Chordata, Mammalia, Diprotodontia, Phalangeridae. The record is from RefSeq and is a predicted model, not a curated record.
UUGCUUCGGCAGCCCAUAUACUAAAAUUGCAAUGAUACAGGGAAUAUUAACAUGGCCCCAGUGCAAGGACAACACUCAAAUUUGUGAAGUGUUCCAUACUUUU